GGUUGCGAUCCUACCAGCACUAAUGCACCGGAUCCCAUCAGAACUCCGCAGUUAAGCGUGCUUGGGCGAGAGUAGUACUAGGAUGGGUGACCCCCUGGAAAGUCCUCGUGUUGCAACCCC
This 120-nucleotide ribosomal RNA is filed under the name Helianthus annuus (common sunflower). The record is from RNAcentral. Lineage: Eukaryota; Viridiplantae; Streptophyta; Magnoliopsida; Asterales; Asteraceae.